UAACCUCAGUGGGGUCGUUGGCCCGGGUCGUCGAUACCCCUGUUGCUGGAAUUUGAUGGUUGAGAAUGUAGGCAAGCCUGUGCAUGCGUGAGGUCUUUAUCAGAGUAUAAAUGCAAUUAUUAUGAUGCUGUCUGUAUGCUAAAGAAUAAGUGUAGACAGCCACGUAUCUCCUCUGAUGCACAUGCAGCUUAUUUUCACCUGGCAGAGAUGAGGGUUCACUGUUACCGAGGUUCACCGCCUCUGCACAGAUUCCCCACCCAACCGUCCUCCAGUCUUCAGCCUGCCAGCUACCCAUGGACCCUGAAGAUGUACAGACACGAGUAGUCAGGAUGGCCCCAGUUGCUCUCGACUUGCAGCUUCACAAAGUUGAAGACACCUUUUUUUGGUGACUAGCUGGGACAGGACGAGGACUAAAUGUCCACGCCCACCUUCAAAGGCCCAGCAGCGUCCUAGGACCAGGGGGGAGUGUACCUGAGGAAAGACAGAGAGAAACAGAGAGUUUAGGAUGUAUGUAUAAAAAAGAAUAGACAGUAAAACAAUGUCAGCUAUUA
Molecule: long non-coding RNA, 551 nt
Organism: Micropterus salmoides (largemouth bass)
Lineage: Eukaryota; Metazoa; Chordata; Actinopteri; Centrarchiformes; Centrarchidae
Exons: 2
Source: RefSeq, a predicted model, not a curated record